RNAcentral lists this long non-coding RNA (431 nucleotides) under Sus scrofa (pig). Its description in RNAcentral is "lncRNA (ENSSSCG00005034009.1)". The record is from RNAcentral. Lineage: Eukaryota; Metazoa; Chordata; Mammalia; Artiodactyla; Suidae.
CCCCACCGGCCUCUCGGGGCUCCAGGAUAACACCAAAGUGCCUUCCUACAGCGGAUGGAGCGUGGUGCCGGCUUCAGGGAGCUCACACACACCACUUUCCGCCUCGUCCCUACCACAGCUCUGCGCGGAGGUCGAGCACGUGUUAACUCGCCUAGGACAGGUGCUUCUGUGGAAGUGCUGCAACACCUUGGCUCCUGAAACUGGGCACUGUGGAUAGAGUCAGCUAGCAGUUGUUUGGCCACUAGGAUGCUCAAGGAAAGAGCGCUGGCAAGGAGAAAGGGCAUCUUCCACCUUCUGCCUGGGAAGACUGCCAGGUAAGUGUAGGUGUGGCAACUGCCACAGCUGCUGCUGCUGCUGCUGCUGCUGCUGCUGCUCCUGGAUUUCAGCUCCUCCGAAUGUUCUCUUAUGCCUUGGAGGCACCUUACAGAUAA